This 58-nucleotide transfer RNA is filed under the name Mus musculus (house mouse). Lineage: Eukaryota; Metazoa; Chordata; Mammalia; Rodentia; Muridae. RNAcentral also lists the same sequence under 1 other name. The record is from Rfam by way of RNAcentral.
UGGCUCAGCAGUUAAGAGCACUGGCUGCCCUUCCAGUGGACCUGGGUUCAAUUCCCAG